Molecule: ribosomal RNA, 460 nt
Filed under: uncultured bacterium
Lineage: Bacteria
Description: partial 16S ribosomal RNA
Rfam family: Bacterial small subunit ribosomal RNA
Source: RNAcentral
CCUACGGGAGGCAGCAGUGAGGAAUAUUGGUCAAUGGGCUUACGCCUGAACCAGCCAAGUCGCGUGAGGGAAGACUGCCCUAUGGGUUGUAAACUUCUUUUAUAUGGGAAUAAAACAGGGUAUGCAUACCCUCUUGUAUGUACCAUAUGAAUAAGGAUCGGCUAACUCCGUGCCAGCAGCCGCGGUAAUACGGAGGAUCCGAGCGUUAUCCGGAUUUAUUGGGUUUAAAGGGAGCGUAGGUGGAUUGUUAAGUCAGUUGUGAAAGUUUGCGGCUCAACCGUAAAAUUGCAGUUGAAACUGGCAGUCUUGAGUACAGUAGAGGUGGGCGGAAUUCGUGGUGUAGCGGUGAAAUGCUUAGAUAUCACGAAGAACUCCGAUUGCGAAGGCAGCUCACUGGACUGCAACUGACACUGAUGCUCGAAAGUGUGGGUAUCAAACAGGAUUAGAUACCCUAGUAGUC